GAUUUAGCCAUGCUAGUCGCACGAGUUCAGACUCGUGGCGAAUAGCUCAGUAACACGUGGCCAAACUACCCUUCGGAACACAAUACCCUCGGGAAACUGAGGCUAAUAGUGUAUACCAUACCACCACUGGAAUGAGUGGUAUGCCAAACGCUCCGGCGCCGAAGGAUGUGGCUGCGGCCGAUUAGGUAGACGGUGGGGUAACGGCCCACCGUGCCAAUAAUCGGUAUGGGUCAUGAGAGUGAGAACCCAGAGACGGAAUCUGAGACAAGAUUCCGGGCCCUACGGGGCGCAGCAGGCGCGAAACCUUUACACUGCACGACAGUGCGAUAGGGGGAUCCCAAGUGCACAGGCAUAGCGCCUGUGCUUUUCGGUACCCUAAGGCGGUACCAGAAUAAGGGCUGGGCAAGACCGGUGCCAGCCGCCGCGGUAAUACCGGCAGCCCAAGUGAUGGCCGAUCUUAUUGGGCCUAAAGCGUCCGUAGCUGGCCGCGCAAGUCCAUCGGGAAAUCCACCUGCUCAACAGGUGGGCGCCCGGUAGAAACUGCGUGGCUUGGGACCGGAAGGCGCGACGGGUACGUCCGGGGUAGGAGUGAAAUCCCGUAAUCCUGGACGGACCGCCGAUGGCGAAAGCACGUCGCGAGAACGGAUCCGACAGUGAGGGACGAAAGCCAGGGUCUCGAACCGGAUUAGAUACCCGGGUAGUCCUGGCCGUAAACAAUGUCUGCUAGGUGUGGCUCCCACUACGAGUGGGUGCUGUGCCGUAGGGAAGCCGCUAAGCAGACCGCCUGGGAAGUACGUCCGCAAGGAUGAAACUUAAAGGAAUUGGCGGGGGAGCACUACAACCGGAGGAGCCUGCGGUUUAAUUGGACUCAACGCCGGACAUCUCACCAGCAUCGACUGUAGUAAUGACGAUCAGGUUGAUGACCUUAUCCGAG
RNAcentral lists this ribosomal RNA (934 nucleotides) under archaeon GC4. Its description in RNAcentral is "bacterial SSU rRNA". It matches the Rfam family "Archaeal small subunit ribosomal RNA", at positions 42 to 976 of the family's 1478-position model. The record is from RNAcentral.